AUAGGAUUAGGGUAGUGGGUCAAAAGGGAAUAGGAUUAGGGUAUGGGUCCAAAAGGGAAUAGGAUUAGGGUAGUGGACCAAAAGGGAAUAGGAUUAGGGUAGUGGACCAAAAGGGAAUAGGAUUAGGGUAGUGGACCAAAAGGGAAUAGGAUUAGGGUAGUGGGCCAAAAGGGAAUAGGAUUAGGGUAGUGGACCAAAAGGGAAUAGGAUUAGGGUAGUGGACCAAAAGGGAAUAGGAUUAGGGUAGUGGGUCAAAAGGGAAUAGGAUUAGGGUAGUGGACCAAAAGGGUGCCAUUUGGGAGGUAGACAUAGUCUUCAAAAUAGGGAAAAAAUGUAAAUUAGCUUACCAUUUGCAGAGACCUGAGCAACAGCAACAAAAACACAUCCCAUUAUUACUCAAGCACAUAUGUGCAGCAGGAACAAACCAGAAAGAUACAUUAUACAAUUAUUAUGGAAUCGGGCCAAUUUUCAAGUUUGUAAUUAAGUAUUUGGUUUGCUACAAACAUAUAGCUGAAAUCUUGACCAACCUUGUUGCAAGUUAGUCCUAGAAAAUAUAAAAGAAUGAAAGUCUUCAUUUUGUAACCUUCAGAUGGAGACAGAGAUAGAAAUGGCAGUUGGUGUACAGCAGAAACAUAGUUGUAGGUCAUUUACAUUCCAUCCCAACAAGAUAACGGUCAGUGGAACUGUCAAUACUUGGAUAAACCCAUGUUCACUUGGGAGUUGUUUUCACUGUUGUUACAUUGAAUAAAUACAGUAACACAUGAACACAAAACAUUGUUGACAGACUUACUGGUAUAACAAAUGUUUGAUUAUUUACCCAUUUUGGAUUACACACACACACACACACACAUACACACACACACACACACACACACAGACACACACACACACACACACACAUCCCCAAACAUGAAGGGCCAUAUAUGACCAGGCCCUAAUCAUGAAAUGGAAAUAAUUAUUAUUCACAGGCACAAUCGGUUUCAAUGUCCUACUGUUCAAUGGUCCAUUCAUUAAAAUGUAGGUUAAUAUCCCCACAUAAUUAAAUAGAGGGGCAAUUCCAGCAUUUAUGGACAUUUC
This is a long non-coding RNA of Oncorhynchus tshawytscha (Chinook salmon), 1077 nucleotides long. Lineage: Eukaryota; Metazoa; Chordata; Actinopteri; Salmoniformes; Salmonidae. The record is from Ensembl.